This 301-nucleotide ribosomal RNA is filed under the name uncultured bacterium. RNAcentral's name for it is "partial 16S ribosomal RNA". It matches the Rfam family "Bacterial small subunit ribosomal RNA", at positions 509 to 807 of the family's 1533-position model. The record is from RNAcentral.
CAGUCGCCACGGGAACACGUAGGUGGCAAGCGUUGUCCGGAAUUAUUGGGCGUAAAGCGUGCGCAGGCGGUUAUAUAAGUCAGAUGUGGAAUCCCCGGGCUCAACCUGGGAACUGCAUUUGAGACUGUAUGGCUAGAGUGUGUCAGAGGGGGGUAGAAUUCCACGUGUAGCAGUGAAAUGCGUAGAUAUGUGGAGGAAUACCGAUGGCGAAGGCAGCCCCCUGGGAUAACACUGACGCUCAUGCACGAAAGCGUGGGGAGCGAACAGGAUUAGAUACCCCGGUAGUCCCUGUCUCUUAUAC